RNAcentral lists this ribosomal RNA (919 nucleotides) under uncultured archaeon. Its description in RNAcentral is "bacterial SSU rRNA". It matches the Rfam family "Archaeal small subunit ribosomal RNA", at positions 1 to 923 of the family's 1478-position model. The record is from RNAcentral.
UCCGGGGGGUUGAUCCUGCCGGAGGUCACUGCUAUUGGGAUUCGAUUAAGCCAUGCGAGUCGAGAGGGUUCGGCCCUCGGCUGACGGCUCAGUAACACGUGGAUAAUCUGCCCUUAGGUGGAGGAUACCCUCGGGAAACUGAGAAUAAUACUCCAUAGGUCUAGGAUGCUGGAAUGCACUUAGACUGAAAAUUCCGGUGCCUAAGGAUGAGUCUGCGGACUAUCAGGUUGUAGUCAGGGUAAAGACCUGACUAGCCUAUGACGGAUACGGGUUGUGAGAGCAAUAACCCGGAGAUGAUAUCUGAGACACGAUAUCAGGCCCUACGGGGCGCAGCAGGCGCGAAAACUUCACAAUGUGCGAAAGCACGAUGAGGGAAUCCCAAGUGCUUGCACGUAAGUGCAAGCUGUUUCUAUGUCUAAAACACAUAGAGAGUAAGGGCUGGGUAAGACGGGUGCCAGCCGCCGCGGUAAUACCUGCAGCUCAAGUGGUGGCCGCUAUUAUUGGGCCUAAAACGUCCGUAGCCGGUUUAAUAAAUGCCUGGGUAAAUUGUAUAGCUUAACUAUACGAAUUCCGGGUAGACUGAUAAACUUGAGACCGGGGGAAGUUAGAGGUACUCCUGGGGUAGAGGUGAAACUCUGUAAUCCUAGGGGGACCACCGGUGGCGAAGGCGUCUGACUAAAACGGGUCUGACGGUGAGGGACGAAGCCCUGGGGCGCAAACGGGAUUAGAUACCCCGGUAGUCCAGGGUGUAAACGCUGCUUGCUUGAUGUUAGUCGGGCUUCGAGCCCGAUUAGUGUCGGAGAGAAGUUGUUAAGCAAGCUGCCUGGGAAGUACGGCCGCAAGACUGAAACUUAAAGGAAUUGGCGGGGGAGCACAGCAACGGGUGGAGCGUGCGGUUUAAUUGGAUUCAACGCCGGGA